Camelus dromedarius (Arabian camel) is the source of this 6597-nucleotide long non-coding RNA. RefSeq lists it as uncharacterized. The record is from RefSeq and is a predicted model, not a curated record. Lineage: Eukaryota; Metazoa; Chordata; Mammalia; Artiodactyla; Camelidae. The transcript has 4 exons.
AUUUUUUGGUACUUCAUAUAUAUUGGGGCUUAAGUGGACCCAAUACUUAUACACAUGUUUUCUCCAGCAGCCAACUGAGAGAUGACACAGAAGAACAGACAGGCGAUAAAUGUCUCCUUUAUUACUGAUGAAGCCACGUUCUCCAUGAAAUUCAGGGCUGUGGGAAAAUGCAUGUCAUGAUACUGUGUCCCAGAAUUAGAGACUCACGCAGUCCCAGGUAACUCUGGGCCACAGCGAGCCUUCCCUUAAGAUGAUCUGCCCCAUCCUGCACAGGGCUGCCCUGCCAUGGAGCUGAGCAUCCCGGGUGCUUCCCAAGGGUGGCCAACACUGGAGGGAAAGGAAAGGUUUCAUAUGCCCUGCUUGUCUCUCCGGACUCACACCUCAAUCUGUUAUUGUGAAGAGUGCUAGCCGUUGGCCAGGGGUCAGGGGUGUGAAGGGGGAAGCACUCUCCAUGGACCAGAGGAGUGUGGAGGAGGCAUCCCUUCUCUCAGUUUAAACAGGUGGUGAGAUGCAAGAGAAGGGUGCUCUCCAAGAGUUUAUAAGAGGGGAAAUAAGGAUUUCCUUUGGGACUCAGACUAGCCAUGAAACACAGAAGAUGAUUAGUAGGGAGACUUGUAAAUCACUUUCUUAUUAAAUUCACAUUUGUUGAGCACCAAAAAUGUGCUACAUUCUUUUCUGAGCGUUUUACAGAAAUGAAUCCUUCAAUCUUCACAACAAGUGAGUAAGGGAGAUUUGAUUGUUAUCCCAGGUUUACAAUGUGGAAAUUGAGGCACGGAGAGAGUAAGUAAGUUGGCCAAGGUCACAGAGCUAGUAAGUGGCAGAGCUGGUAUUUAAACCCUGGCUGUCUGGUUUCCAGGCUCCCAGGGAUGGGCUUUGGGUGUUUAGAGGUAUCUGCAUCCCUGGAUCUCUGUACCUCUGUGCAUCACUUAGCCCAGAAAGGACAGGGAAAGGAGAGUUACACAGGUGCUCACAGUCGUGUCUCAGCCACUGUCCACGGACAGUGCACCGUGAUUGGCGUUAAAUGUCUUCUGGGCAGCAGAUCUGUUCGUAUAACAGAAAUUUAGUCCAUUGAGUUAAUCUAGAAACCCUUCCUGCUCUGCUUCUGUCCAUGGUUUCCAUGUGACUGCCUGCCCGUGAUUGGGCCGUUGAGGAGAAUCUGUACUCAUAGUUGAACUCUGAUAUUUCAGUCUGGUUCGUAGUUUCACAUCUCCUGUUACAUUAAUAAAUUCAAUUUCUGGUUUCUUUGCAUCAGUCUCUCAUGAGUUUGGUUAAUGUGACAUCAGUCCAUGGGAGCCUAGUGUUGCUGACGGUAUAUUUUCUGAGCACGUUGUGGCACUUCUACCCGUGUGGACCUGGGUGGAAGAUUUCCGCCUUCCGCACUUAUUUUCCCGAACAGCAGGGUCCUCUCCCACCCCCGGAUGUGAGGCUGGGAGCUCUCAGAGUAGGCCAGUCAGAGGCCAAGUCCACAAAUCAGAAAAUAAUGAAGUCCUUGGAAGUGGGUUUAAUAGAAAAAAAGGGCUUCCAGGUAUUCCGAUGGGCUGUUCGAGUCCAUUUGGUGAAAAGCUAUCCACUGUUACUGGUUGAGCUGCUUCUUUGCUGUUGAAAAGUCUGGAUUACAUGGAGGGAUUUUAAAAAGCAGAAAGGUGUGAUUUCAUGUGGUACAUCCACACCGGUGAGUAGUGAUGGAUGACCGCCUGUGUGAGGCAUAGACAGAGUCUUACAAACUUCAUAAAGCAGCUUUAAAAGCUCUGCCAUCUGAGUGCACUUCAUAUGGGGUCCAAUUCAUGACUGGGCAUGCUGAGAGGGCAAAUAAUUGAUAAUGGCAGAAAGGACACAGAGGCAUCAAAAAGGUCUCAGUCAUGUUCCCUGUUUAAAGGAUGUGGCACAAUGUAAUAUAUUUGGGCUGGUUCUUCACUGAACAGUUUUGAGUGUUUUCUGGGACUCCCCAGUGCACCAAGGUUCCGUGCAGCUGGGUGUCCCCUCAGUGCAGCUCUGUCAGCGCUCAUCCUGGGCUGACGUGGUGUCACGGGGAGCAGAACAGUCAGCGUCCCCGGCUCCUCCGAGCUCCGUUUCUUCAUCCGCAAUGCUGGGUUUCUCUUCGGUGUCUACUUAGUAGGGUUGCUGAGAAUCACACGUGAUGGUUGUCAGGGGCGAUUUGUGGUUGUCUCUGUGAUUGUCAUAUAGUGAAUAUUUGAUAGAAACUCUUGUUUUUUAUUAAAAUUAUGGCUCCUAGAUUGCAGUGGUUUUUAGUCUGCAUUUACUCUUUUUAUAAAUUUAUUCUUAUUUUUAAAUAAGCACUUAUUUUUAUUUAUUUUUAUGAAGGAACUGGGGACUGAAGCCAGCACAUUGUGCAUGCUAAGCAGGUGUUCUACAACUGAGUAAUACAGACCCUCCUUGUCUGAACUUAAAAAUAAAUAUUUCAAUACACAAAAUAGCUCUUAAACCCCAUCAUGGGCCUAUUUUCUGUAUAGACAAUUGAAUACAUAUGCUAAUUCAAUAAGAAUAAAUGUUGUUGGGACAUAAUUUCUGAAUCUGUUUAUGUGUUUAAAAACGAUCAUAGGUAGUGAUAAACACGAGUCUUGGAUCCACUACUUAGGGUCUGUUUUGCCAUCAUGGGAAAUUAUAUUUUACAGAGAAGGCUAAUUGGGUCUCGUUGAUAUUUGGAUGAUUUAGCAGAUGAUGAAGGCUUUCAAAAGCUGACAGUUUUGUAUUUUAAACUAACUACAAAGUUAUCUUCUAUAAAUUGGAAGUCCUCAGCUUGUGAAUUGCCCAGUAAUUCAGUGUGUACAUGUCUGUGUCUCUGUGAACGUGUGUGUGUGUGUGUGUGUGUGUGUGUGUGUGUGUGUGUGUGUGUGAUUUCAGGAAGGUAGAAAUAAGUUCCAUAUAGCCUUCUGAUACCUUUCUCUUCCAGUUCAAGGUGUAGGCAUAUAUUUAUACAAAUAAAUUGAUACUCUUUUGUCAUUUGGCAUAUUGGUGGGUAUAAAAGUUUCUCAUACUUGUUUCAGAAGGGUUGGGGAGAAUGAGCUUAGAAAAUAGGAGGAGAUAGAGGCAGGAAGGUUCUUUACACUUUGUGCAGGAUGAGAAACAGUAGCUUUUCUUUUUUCUACUAAAGCAAACUGGCACUGAAUUGUAACAUACUAUUACUCAGAAUUGCUUUUCUGAUCAGAUACGAGUGCCUCAGAUUUUUCAAGGCAACAUGAAUGAUGAAAUGUGUUUUAGCAAUUAUCUUUAAAUGUAGUUUUAUUUUUUAAGUAAAAGGCUAUAGCCUGUUCUUUCUUCCAGCGUUACAAGAAGUUCCCAUUGAUCCAGGUACAUGAUAAUUGUGCUUAGUUUCUUCGGGUUAUUGUUUUGUUUUUUUUUUUAAGUGCUUGUUUCAUUGUGGUGUGAAUGAAUGUUUAAAAUUUCUGGAUUUUGAUGUUUAGAACAUGCUGAUUUAUCAGAACUGUUAAAAACCUGAUUGUUGUUUGGUCCUCGUUUGGUGGGGCAACCUAUUGAUUUCUGUUGUCUGUUAAAGAGGGAAAUUCUUCCUCUAGCCUGUAGAUCAUUAAGUGAAUGGUUUGCAGUGUGCCUUUAAAAUUCUUUGAAUGCAUUGAGCAUGUUUGUCCAGUGAAUUUUGAAUUGACUCAUAGUAAUGACUUUGUUUGAUUCUGUGGCUUUUGCUCCUCUCCACAUGAAUUUGAAUUCUCUGUUGCAUUUUGUAUACGUGUUCUUAACAGGGGAAGAAAUUUUGCAUUUUUUACAUAGGUGGGUUUUCCUAUCCCCUCUGAAUGCCUUCUGUAAUUGAUACAGCGAAAAUCUGUUAUUUCAGUGCUUAAUUAUUUCAUAAACUAUUUUUUGGCUUAAUCAGAAACAAUGACAAAGAAUGAUAAUAAAAAACAUGAAAACCUUCCUUCCUUUGAAGAAUAGAAAUGAGGUGGUCAGGCUCACGCGUGCUUUGUACCUGACACCCGUACUUUCAUGUCAUUGUGUAUCAUGAUUCGGAGAUGGAGUUGCUUCAGGUUUGUAGAUUUUUGUUUUAACAUUUGUGUUGAAUUCAUUCUCUAGGCUGAUGUUUCCUGUUGCGUUUGUGGAAAGUGUAGGUGAAGGGAAACAGAUGCUACGUUUUGUAUUCAGGAGGCCUGAGUUGCUGAAGAGUAUAGAGUAGAGGGUGGGCUGAGGAACAGAGUGACACUCCCUCACCUCCAGGCUGAAAUUGAUGAACAAUGAAAUCAAUUAGGUGUAUCGGUAUUUAUUUGACCAAUAGAAGUCAGAGGGCCCAGACUGUCUAGUUAUGCGCAAUGGAAAGUACUGAAUUCACCUGCAGAAUUAGGUGAUUUACCAAGUAGAAGCAGCUUAGAGCAAUCAGAAAAAUCAGUUCUAUGAUGAGAUAUAAAAAGAAUAUAAUAUCUAUUAUUUCUGAAACUUUUCUAUGUUAAGUUGUGUAGAGCUAAAAUUAAGUUCCAAGCACCAGGAGUUAAGAGUCUGGGUGGUUCUGUGGGAUCGUUAUUCAGGGAUGUGUCUAGACCCUGCUGGAAUGGCCGAAGCUGGCAGGAAAAGACGCAGAGGCAGGAUUUGUCAUCCUAGGGUGUCCUCCAUAAUGGUUCCAUGUGAUAGCCCAUGAUUGGGUUAACAAAUUUAACAGACACCAGACGCAUGUCAACCUUAAGAAGAAAAAGUGUGCUUAGUAACUGCUUUCAAGCAAGCACCUGUGCAUCCUCACUCCUGUCUCCUUGCCAUAAAAAGCAGAGACAAUGCCUUGCUUGCAUAUUUGAGGUUUUAGAUAGCACUCUGUUCAUUGCACAGCAAUGACCCAGGCCCUCAGCUAUAAAUGCUGGGCGUGCGUGCUGUUAGAUAGUCUAUUAUCCCCAAAACACGGACCUGGCUGGACUGGUGGUCUGCUUUGUAAUGAAUAUCUAAAGAAUUUAUCUUGUUCCCCUCUCCCCAUGACUCCCCUAAAGGUAAACUAAGCCUUUUUACUCAUUGUGGAUUCUACAAUCUCUGUCUCAUCCUGUCUUUCCCCAAGUUCCUGUUUACUAUCACACAACUGUUAAAGACUAUUUUCUUUGAUUAUACACAAUAAAUAUGGGAGGAUUUGAGAGGCUCUUGGAGUUGGCUCCCUACUCCCUCUCGCUUUCUUUCCUUUUUCCACAGUCUUGAGUCAUUCAUUCCAUGUCGGUAAGACUUCUGCCAGCCAGAACCCACAGUUCCAGGUGAGAAGGAUGCAGACUUUAUCUCUCCUACCCGAGGGAGAGAGAGAAGAGAAUUGAGAUCUGCUCCCCCGUGGUCCCUUCCUGCCCCAGGGCCACUCCAGUUCACCUGCAGCCUUCUGGCCUCUGCUCUCAGGGCCUCUGUCCCAAGACUGACAUCAGCCUUUUUUUCCCUUGUCAAUAUUUCCUGUGCCUUUCAGGAGUUGGUCUCUUCUCUGCAAUUCCACCCUGGCAGAUGUGAUGGUGGUCAGCGUGCUGGUGGGCAGUCAUUUGGGGACUCCCAGGAACCAUUCUGAUUCUCCUGAGUCUCUCAUUCGGGGUUACAAAACUGUCGAGAACCGGAGGAAGCCCAUUCACGUGAGCAGCAGCUAGUCAGUUUCUGCAGAGGAGACCGCAGGGAUUGUGAUCGAGACCACGUUGAAUAUACGGAUCGUUCUGGGGAGCACUGCCAUUCCAAAAGCGCUGUCUUCUGAUCCAGCAAUGUGCGUGGUUUGUCCAGGUGCCCUCACCUCCAGUAGCAUCCAUCCAGACACCGGAACUGACACUGGCCGUGCUCCGAACUGCCUCAGCCCUGAAGACACAACUGACAAAUAGAAGGGGACCACGCCCUGUUACAGCAGGUGCUCUCACUUUGUGGAUCCUUAUGUAACUGAGCGGUGUUAAUCAGGAUUGCCCGUUCUACAUUGUGUGGCGCUGCUGCGGUGUCUCCUAGUUACUUGUUUCUUGUAAGAAUGCCGGUGACUGAGUUAGAAGCAUGCUCCCAAGCUGUCCGUGUCCUUGCCAUUCAGAAGCGGACCCUGGAAGCUUCCAAAUUUCUCCAGAAUGCGUUCUACAUUCACCUUCGGCAGGUGAGUGUAUGUCUUUACACAAGUGGAGGAAUUACUGCCGUUUUCCUGGACCUUACUCACCACUAGUCCAUCUGAUUUUUCUGUGCUAGGAUUCAGUAUGGCCUGCUAAAAUAUCUGGAGUCAGAUCUUGAAACACUGAUGAAGAGGAUCAUUUAUUUUAUUUCUAUAUAUGAUAGCCUUUUACUUUCAAAAUUCAGAAUUUUUGGUUCUUUCAGGAAUUUUUGGGGGAUUGGCGAAACAACUUUGCUCUUACAAUCUUUGAGACCUGUUGCUUUGUGCCUCUCACCUGUCUUCUGUCACUUGUGAGAGGCGAUUCCAUUUGUGACCCUGUCCGGGUUGUUCAUGUUAUAAAACAUAUAGUCUGUUAAAGUACAGUCCCUUUUACUCCAAAGACAUUCCACAAAUACUACUAAAACCUGGGUGUGGUUUUAAGAAGACAGAAUCAUUAGAAAAUGUACUUGCAGGUUGCUAGUGCAAAAUCCCCAAAUCAAUAGUCCAGCUCAACAUCUAAAAUCUAUCUAAUCUACCUUGGAUUUGUAUGGAUAAGUGAAGCAGUUUGCUAA